GUGAGAAUGUUGGCAUGAGUAGCGAGAUGUGGGUGGGAAUCCCACAGGCCGUAAACCCAAGGUUUCCAGGGGAAGGUUCGUCCACCCUGGGUUAGUCGGGACCUAAGCUGAGGCCGAAAGGCGUAGGGGAUGGACAACAGGUUGAUAUUCCUGUACUACCGAUAACCGUUUGAGAGAAGGGAUGACACAGUAGGAUAAGCUAAGCACACUG
RNAcentral lists this ribosomal RNA (211 nucleotides) under Clostridioides difficile. Its description in RNAcentral is "partial 23S ribosomal RNA". It matches the Rfam family "Bacterial large subunit ribosomal RNA", at positions 1288 to 1497 of the family's 2925-position model. Lineage: Bacteria; Bacillati; Bacillota; Clostridia; Peptostreptococcales; Peptostreptococcaceae. The record is from RNAcentral.